UACGAAGGGUGCAAACGUUGCUCGGAAUUAUUGGGCGUAAAGCGCACGUAGGAGGCUUAGCAAGUCGGAUGUGAAAUCCCUCGGCUCAACCAAGGAAGUGCAUCCGAAACUGCUGAGCUUGAGUACGAAAGAGGAUCGCGGAAUUCCCGGUGUAGAGGUGAAAUUCGUAGAUAUCCGGAGGAACACCGGCGGCGAAGGCGGCAUCCUGGACUGGUCCUGACACUCAUGAGCGAAAGCGUGGGGAGCGAUCCGG
This 253-nucleotide ribosomal RNA is filed under the name uncultured bacterium. RNAcentral's name for it is "partial 16S ribosomal RNA". It matches the Rfam family "Bacterial small subunit ribosomal RNA", at positions 524 to 776 of the family's 1533-position model. The record is from RNAcentral.